CCUACGGGUGGCAGCAGUGGGGAAUAUUGGGCAAUGGGCACAAGCCUGACCCAGCAACGCCGCGUGAAGGAAGAAGGCUUUCGGGUUGUAAACUUCUUUUCUCAGGGACGAAGCAAAUGACGGUACCUGAGGAAUAAGCCACGGCUAACUACGUGCCAGCCGCCGCGUUAAUACGUAGGGGGCAAGCGUUAUCCGGAUUUACUGGGUGUAAAGGGCGUGUAGGCGGGACUGCAAGUCAGAUGGGAAAACCACGGGCUCAACCUGUGGGCUGCAUUUGAAACUGUAGUUCUUGAGUACGGGAGAGGCAGACGGAAUUCCUAGUGUAGCGGUGAAAUGCGUAGAGAUCAGGAGGAACACCAGUUGCGAAGGCGGUCUGCUGGACAGCAACUGACGCUGAGGCGCGAAAGCGUGGGGAGCAAACAGGAUUAGAUACCCGAGUAGUC
This 443-nucleotide ribosomal RNA is filed under the name uncultured bacterium. Its description in RNAcentral is "partial 16S ribosomal RNA". It matches the Rfam family "Bacterial small subunit ribosomal RNA", at positions 338 to 795 of the family's 1533-position model. The record is from RNAcentral.